GAUGAACGCUGGCGGCGUGCUUAACACAUGCAAGUCGAACGAUGAAGCCCAGCUUGCUGGGUGGAUUAGUGGCGAACGGGUGAGUAACACGUGAGUAACCUGCCCUUAACUCUGUGAUAAGCCUGGGAAACUGGGUCUAAUACCGGAUAGGAGCGUCCACCGCAUGGUGGGUGUUGGAAAGAUUUAUCGGUUUUGGAUGGACUCGCGGCCUAUCAGCUUGUUGGUGAGGUAAUGGCUCACCAAGGCGACGACGGGUAGCCGGCCUGAGAGGGUGACCGGCCACACUGGGACUGAGACACGGCCCAGACUCCUACGGGAGGCAGCAGUGGGGAAUAUUGCACAAUGGGCGCAAGCCUGAUGCAGCGACGCCGCGUGAGGGAUGACGGCCUUCGGGUUGUAAACCUCUUUCAGUAGGGAAGAAGCGAAAGUGACGGUACCUGCAGAAGAAGCACCGGCUAACUACGUG
This 466-nucleotide ribosomal RNA is filed under the name uncultured bacterium. Its description in RNAcentral is "partial 16S ribosomal RNA". It matches the Rfam family "Bacterial small subunit ribosomal RNA", at positions 28 to 507 of the family's 1533-position model. The record is from RNAcentral.